CUUGCAACCAAUAAGAGGUCCAGCCUGCCCAGUGACUCUGUUCAACGGCCGCGGUAUCCUAACCGUGCAAAGGUAGCGCAAUCACUUGUCCUUUAAAUAAGGACUAGUAUGAACGGCACCACGAAAGCUAUACUGUCUCCUUCCCCUAAUCAGUGAAACUAAUCUCCCCGUGAAGAAGCGGGGAUAAUUUUAUAAGACGAGAAGACCCUAUGGAGCUUUAAACACACAACAAUUGUAACGGACCCCCUUCUUCUUCCCCGGAAGAAACUGCCUACCCGAACAUUUUGAUUGCAAGUUUUAGGUUGGGGUGACCGCGGAGCAAAAAUUAACCUCCAUAGUGAACGGGAUUCUUUCCCCCUAAACCCAGGGCCACAGCCCCAAGGAUCAAUAAAUUGACACCCAUUGACCCAAUACUUUUGACCAACGAAC
This 429-nucleotide ribosomal RNA is filed under the name Leptodactylus petersii group sp. ABGD cluster 125. RNAcentral's name for it is "partial large subunit ribosomal RNA". It matches the Rfam family "Bacterial large subunit ribosomal RNA", at positions 1835 to 2441 of the family's 2925-position model. Lineage: Eukaryota; Metazoa; Chordata; Amphibia; Anura; Leptodactylidae. The record is from RNAcentral.